UACGUAGGGUGCAAGCGUUAAUCGGAAUUACUGGGCGUAAAGCGUGCGCAGGCGGUUUUGUAAGUCCGAUGUGAAAUCCCCGGGCUUAACCUGGGAACUGCAUUGGUGACUGCAAGGCUUGAGUGUGUCAGAGGGAGGUGGAAUUCCGCGUGUAGCAGUGAAAUGUGUAGAUAUGCGGAGGAACACCGAUGGCGAAGGCAGCCUCCUGGGAUAACACUGACGCUCAUGCACGAAAGCGUGGGGAGCAAACGGG
RNAcentral lists this ribosomal RNA (253 nucleotides) under uncultured bacterium. RNAcentral's name for it is "partial 16S ribosomal RNA". It matches the Rfam family "Bacterial small subunit ribosomal RNA", at positions 524 to 776 of the family's 1533-position model. The record is from RNAcentral.